UAUUCAGCAUCGGCAUCACCC
This 21-nucleotide unclassified non-coding RNA is filed under the name Mus musculus (house mouse). RNAcentral's name for it is "oocyte_clustered_small_RNA9452". Lineage: Eukaryota; Metazoa; Chordata; Mammalia; Rodentia; Muridae. The record is from RNAcentral.